This 468-nucleotide ribosomal RNA is filed under the name uncultured bacterium. RNAcentral describes it as "partial 16S ribosomal RNA". It matches the Rfam family "Bacterial small subunit ribosomal RNA", at positions 28 to 507 of the family's 1533-position model. The record is from RNAcentral.
GACGAACGCUGGCGGCGUGCUUAACACAUGCAAGUCGAACGGAAAGGCCCUGCUUUUGUGGGGUGCUCGAGUGGCGAACGGGUGAGUAACACGUGAGUAACCUGCCCUUGACUUUGGGAUAUCUUCAGGAAACUGGGGCUAAUACCGGAUAGGAGCUCCUGCUGCAUGGUGGGGGUUGGAAAGUUUCGGCGGUUGGGGAUGGACUCGCGGCUUAUCGGCUUGUUGGUGGGGUAGUGGCUUACCAAGGCUUUGACGGGUAGCCGGCCUGAGAGGGUGACCGGCCACAUUGGUACUGCGAUACGGACCAGACUCCUACGGGAGGCAGCAGUGGGGAGUAUUGCACAGUGGGCGGACGCCUGAGGCAGCAACGCCGCGUGCGGGAUGACGGCCUUCGGGUUGUAAACCGCUUUCGCCUGUGACGAAGCGGGAGUGACGGUAAUGGGUAAAGAAGCACCGGCUAACUACGUG